UUUUAUCUGGGACCAAUUGAACAUACGUUGUUAUUAUUUUCUACGACACCUUGAACUCUUGUCCUUUCUCUUUCAGGAUCCUCCAUCAUUUUGUCUCACCAGGCUUAAUGCUGGGCAUUUCUUCAGACUAAUUGUUUGUUUAUAGAAUUCUCCAUCCAGAGUACAUUGAUAGACAUCAUUCCUUUCAAAGAGGACCUAGAUACCUGGGUGUUUCCCAAGGAAGUAUGAAAGCUGAUAUAAACAUGGCAUUUCUGGCAUUCAUCUUCAUGAAUCCAUGAACAAGAAGGAGAAGCAGCAAUGGAUGAUACUUAUGUACAACCCCAAAUAAGAUAGUGUUAAAAAUAAAUUCAAGAGUUAUCUGCCUCGGUCACCUAAGGUAGGUUCAGAGAAAUGAUGUAAAGGGAUAAGAGUAGAGGAUGGCUAAAAGCAAAGGUGAAAACUGCACCCAAGGCGAUGGAGCAACUUUCCACUGGAUGUCUCAGCUUGGCUCAAGAUGAGUGCGGGAGAUGGAGGUCGAGUCUCUGGAGACUUUAUCUGAGGGGCAAGCAGGGUCUUCAUGAGUCAUUCUGCUGUACCCUACUCUGUGUGGUAUGAGUUGGAGCCAGAAGAAAUGGAACAUCUAAAG
This 625-nucleotide long non-coding RNA is filed under the name Felis catus (domestic cat). RNAcentral's name for it is "lncRNA (ENSFCAG00000042033.2)". The record is from RNAcentral. Lineage: Eukaryota; Metazoa; Chordata; Mammalia; Carnivora; Felidae.